RNAcentral lists this transfer RNA (63 nucleotides) under Fukomys damarensis (Damara mole-rat). It matches the Rfam family "tRNA", at positions 5 to 66 of the family's 71-position model. From Rfam's summary of the family: Transfer RNA (tRNA) molecules are approximately 80 nucleotides in length. Their secondary structure includes four short double-helical elements and three loops (D, anti-codon, and T loops). Lineage: Eukaryota; Metazoa; Chordata; Mammalia; Rodentia; Bathyergidae. The record is from Rfam by way of RNAcentral.
GUGUAGUUCAGUGGUAGAGCAUUUACCUAGCAUGUGUGAGGACCUGGGUUCAAUCCCCAGCAC